UACGAAGGGGGCUAGCGUUGUUCGGAAUUACUGGGCGUAAAGCGCACGUAGGCGGAUAUUUAAGUCAGGGGUGAAAUCCCGGGGCUCAACCUCGGAACUGCCUUUGAUACUGGGUAUCUUGAGUAUGGAAGAGGUAAGUGGAAUUGCGAGUGUAGAGGUGAAAUUCGUAGAUAUUCGCAGGAACACCAGUGGCGAAGGCGGCUUACUGGUCCAUUACUGACGCUGAGGUACGAAAGCGUGGGGAGCAAACAGG
Molecule: ribosomal RNA, 253 nt
Filed under: uncultured bacterium
Lineage: Bacteria
Description: partial 16S ribosomal RNA
Rfam family: Bacterial small subunit ribosomal RNA
Source: RNAcentral